AGAGCACACGGUGGAUGCCUAGGCUUUUGGAGGCGAAGAAGGACGUGGUAAGCUGCGAAAAGCUAUGGGGAGACGCUAAACAGUCAUUGAUCCGUAGAUAUCCGAAUGGGGCAACCCGUUAGGUAGAAGGCCUAACAUUCCGCAUAAGCGGGAAGCAAACCCGGCGAAUUGAAACAUCUUAGUAGCCGGAGGAAGAGAAAACAAUAGUGAUUCCCUAAGUAGAGGCGAUCGAACGGGGAAUAGCCUAAACCAUAUUUGUUUCGGCAUAUAUGGGGUUGUAGGACUGACAAUAAAGGUAUAAUUAACAGAAGUAGAAUAUGUCUGGAAAGCAUAACCAAAGAGAGUGAAAGUCUCGUAUACGUAAGAAUUAAUUAUAUUGAGUCAGCACCUGAGUAGCACGGGACACGAGAAACCCUGUGUGAAUCGGCCGGGACCACCCGGUAAGGCUAAAUACUCCCAAAAGACCGAUAGUGAACCAGUACCGUGAGGGAAAGGUGAAAAGAACCCCUGUUAGGGGAGUGAAAUAGUACCUGAAACCGUGUGCUUACAAGCGGUCGGAGUCUCGUUUUAAACGAGGUGACGGCGUGCCUUUUGCAUAAUGAGCCUACGAGUUAUCUUCGUUAGCAAGGUUAAUUGACUCAGUCAAGGAGCCGAAGCGAAAGCGAGUCUGAAAAGGGCGUUUAGUUAGCGGGGAUAGACGCGAAACCAAGUGAUCUACCCAUGGUCAGGGUGAAGCAAGGGUAAAUCCUUGUGGAGGCCCGAACCAGUUGACGUUGAAAAGUCUUUGGAUGAACUGUGGGUAGGGGUGAAAGGCCAAUCAAACUUGGAAAUAUCUCGUACUCCCCGAAAUGCCUUUAGGGGCAGCCUCGAGGGAAGUGUUAUAGAGGUAGAGCUACCGAUUGGGUGCGAGGGUUUCAUCGCCUAUCAAUCCCUGACGAACUCCGAAUGCUAUAACAUAUACUCGGGAGUGAGGCCAUGGGUGCUAAGGUCCGUGGCCAAAAGGGAAAGAACCCAGACCAUCAGCUAAGGUCCCUAAAUGUAAUCUAAGUUGAUCUAACGUGGUCGGUUUGCACAAACAGCUAGGAUGUUGGCUUGGAAGCAGCCAUUCAUUUAAAGAGUGCGUAACAGCUCACUAGUCGAGCGAACUGGCGUGGAUGAUAAUCGGGCAUAAGAAUACUACCGAAGCUAUGGAUCUCAAUUUUUAUUGGGAUGGUAGGGGAGCAUUCUGGCGACGUAGAAGCAGUAUCGUGAGGUAUUGUGGAGUUUCCGGAAAAGAAAAUGUAGGCAUAAGUAACGAUAAAGAAAGUGAAAAACUUUCUCGCCGAUACUCUAAGGUUUUCUGAAUCUACGUUAAUCGGAGCAGAGUUAGUCGGGACCUAAGGCGAACCCGAAAGGGGAAGUCGAUGGAAGAAUCGGUUAAUAUUCCGAUACUAGCAUAUAGAGAGACGAGGUGACGGAGGAGUGACAAGCUCGCGUACGGACGGAAGAGUACGUUGAAGGGUGUAGAUAAAUUGAAUAUAGGCAAAUCCGUAUUUAAUGUCGAACCUGAUAGUACCACAAGCUAUUCAUAGCGCGUGGAUAGUAGCAGUAAUCAUACUCCCAAGAAAAACCUCUAUUUAUAAUUUAUAUGGUACCCGUACCGUAAACCGACACAGGUGGAGUGGUAGAGAAUACCGAGGCGCUCGAGUGAUUCGUGGCUAAGGAACUAGGCAAAUUAACCCCGUAACUUCGGGAAAAGGGGUGCUCUCUUACGAGAGAGCCGCAGAGAAAUGGCCCAAGCGACUGUUUAACAAAAACACAGGGCUUUGCUAAGCCGAAAGGCGAUGUAUAAGGCCUGACGCCUGCCCGGUGCCGGAAGGUUAAGGGGGGGAGUUAUUUCGAUUCGUCGGAAGAAGCUCUGAACUGAAGCCCCGGUAAACGGCGGCCGUAACUAUAACGGUCCAAAGGUAGCGAAAUUCCUUGUCGGGUAAGUUCCGACCUGCACGAAUGGUGUAACGAUUUGGGCACUGUCUCAGCCACGAGCUCGGUGAAAUUGUAGUUCCGGUGAAGAUGCCGGAUACCCGCAGCGGGACGGAAAGACCCCGUGAACCUUUACUACAACUUAGCGUUGGUUCUUGGUAUUAGAUGUGUAGGAUAGGUGGGAGACAACGAAGCAGGGACGCUAGUUUCUGUGGAGUCGCCCUUGAAAUACCACCCUUCUACUAUUAGGAAUCUAAUCCGUCUAAGACGGAGACAUUGUUUGGUGGGUAGUUUGACUGGGGUGGUCGCCUCCAAAAGAGUAACGGAGGCUUUCAAAGGUACCCUCAGUACGAUUGGUAACCGUGCGAAGAGUGCAAUGGCAUAAGGGUGCUUGACUGUGAGACAGACAAGUCGACCAGAUACGAAAGUAGGACAUAGUGAUCCGGUGGUUCCGAGUGGAAGGGCCAUCGCUCAAAGGAUAAAAGGUACUCCGGGGAUAACAGGCUUAUCACUCCCAAGAGCUCAUAUCGACGGAGUGGUUUGGCACCUCGAUGUCGGCUCGUCACAUCCUGGGGCUGGAGAAGGUCCCAAGGGUUGGGCUGUUCGCCCAUUAAAGUGGCACGCGAGCUGGGUUCAGAACGUCGCGAGACAGUUCGGUCCCUAUCUGUUGUGGGCGU
This 2636-nucleotide ribosomal RNA is filed under the name uncultured bacterium. RNAcentral describes it as "bacterial LSU rRNA". It matches the Rfam family "Bacterial large subunit ribosomal RNA". The record is from RNAcentral.